CCUGUUUAUCAAAAACAUCUCUUAAAAUUUAAGUACAGCCUGCUCAGUGAAAAAUUUUUAACAGCCAGCAUAUGCUAAGGUAGCAUAGUAAUUUGCUUUAUAAUUAAAAGAUAGAAUGAAAGGCUAUUCUUAAAUAAAUUAUUAAAAAUUAGCAUUAAAAUUUUAUGCUGGUGAAAAUACCCGUAUAAAUUUUUUAGACGAUAAGACCCUAUGAAGCUUUACUAUUUAUUUAGUUUUUUUGGGGCAAAAUAUAAUAUUUUUAUUUUUUUUUUAGAAAAAUUUUGAUCUUUAGGAAUUUUAAGAAAAAGCUACUCUAGGGAUAACAGCAUAAUUUUUAUAAAAGUUCUUAUUAAAAUAAAAGUUUGUGACCNCGAUGUUGA
Molecule: ribosomal RNA, 380 nt
Filed under: Calamoecia clitellata
Lineage: Eukaryota; Metazoa; Arthropoda; Copepoda; Calanoida; Centropagidae
Description: partial 16S ribosomal RNA
Source: RNAcentral